This 229-nucleotide long non-coding RNA is filed under the name Elaeis guineensis (African oil palm). RNAcentral's name for it is "long non-coding RNA (EGUI_LNC032774)". Lineage: Eukaryota; Viridiplantae; Streptophyta; Magnoliopsida; Arecales; Arecaceae. The record is from RNAcentral.
CAGACUACUUCGAUCGUCGGUAUUUUAGAAUUACUAACCGACAACCGACCUCCGACGCAUAGUCGGCCGACUCAUUCAAAUAUAUCAUAACCAUCACGGACUGUUACUCCAUCGAAGAUAACUUCGAUCAGUGUGGACUUCAUUUUGUAGGUGCUCGUUCCCGAUGAACAGGCGACGAGGAGAUUGGCAGCAACAGAUUGACGCGUUAGGAAGGAAAAAGACAGCGGCA